RNAcentral lists this ribosomal RNA (709 nucleotides) under uncultured bacterium. RNAcentral describes it as "bacterial SSU rRNA". It matches the Rfam family "Bacterial small subunit ribosomal RNA", at positions 56 to 811 of the family's 1533-position model. The record is from RNAcentral.
UGCAAGUCGAACGCUCUCUUCGGAGAGAGUGGCAGACGGGUGAGUAACACGUGGGAAUCUACCUAUCGGUGCGGAACAACACAUAGAAAUGUGUGCUAAUACCGCAUACGUCCUCAGGGAGAAAGAUUUAUCGCCGAUAGAUGAGCCCGCGCUUGAUUAGCUAGUUGGUGAGGUAAUGGCUCACCAAGGCGACGAUCAAUAGCUGGUCUGAGAGGAUGAUCAGCCACACUGGGACUGAGACACGGCCCAGACUCCUACGGGAGGCAGCAGUGGGGAAUAUUGGACAAUGGGCGCAAGCCUGAUCCAGCCAUGCCGCGUGAGUGAUGAAGGCCCUAGGGUUGUAAAGCUCUUUCAACGGUGAAGAUAAUGACGGUAACCGUAGAAGAAGCCCCGGCUAACUUCGUGCCAGCAGCCGCGGUAAUACGAAGGGGGCUAGCGUUGUUCGGAAUAACUGGGCGUAAAGCGCACGUAGGCGGAUUGUUAAGUUAGGGGUGAAAUCCCAGGGCUCAACCCUGGAACUGCCUUUAAUACUGGCAAUCUAGAGUUCGAGAGAGGUGAGUGGAAUUCCGAGUGUAGAGGUGAAAUUCGUAGAUAUUCGGAGGAACACCAGUGGCGAAGGCGGCUCACUGGCUCGAUACUGACGCUGAGGUGCGAAAGUGUGGGGAGCAAACAGGAUUAGAUACCCUGGUAGUCCACGCCGUAAACGAUG